GUGUCAGCAGCCGCGGUAAUACAGAGACCCCAAGCGUUAUCCGGAAUUAUUGGGCGUAAAGGGUGAGUAGGUGGUAUUGUUAGUCGGGUUUGAAAGAUUGUGGGCUCAACCCAUGAUAUGGACCCGAAACGGCAAAACUAGAAUAUGUAAGAGGUUAGUGGAACUAUAUGUGUAGGGGUAAAAUCCGUUGAUAUAUAUGGGAACACCUAAAGCGAAGGCAGCUAACUGGUACAUUAUUGACACUGAAUCACGAAAGCGUGGGUAGCGAUACGGAUUAGAAACCCCUGUAGUCC
RNAcentral lists this ribosomal RNA (293 nucleotides) under uncultured Parcubacteria group bacterium. RNAcentral's name for it is "partial 16S ribosomal RNA". It matches the Rfam family "Bacterial small subunit ribosomal RNA", at positions 505 to 796 of the family's 1533-position model. The record is from RNAcentral.